UGAUUGGGUGAUAACAUGCCAAGAGCUUUGCCAUUGGUAGAAUUCUGUUUCGUCCCAGAAACCCUAGUAGCGAAAGUCCCGCCCCGCCAGUUUACAGCUCGGUGCCGGGAGCUGCUGGGUAGUGAAGUGACGAAGAUGCCGGAGAUUAAUUGGAAUGUGUUGGAGAAUUUUCCUCUGCUCCUAUACAUUCUAGCAGCAAAAACCAUCCUGAUAUGCCUGGCGUUUGCUGGGGUUAAGAUUUACCAGAGUAAGAAGAUUGAAGCACAGUUAAAGCUGGAGCGGGAAGCAAAGCUGAAAAUGGCAGCUGAGAAGGAGGAAAUGGACAAGAAAGAAGACUGAGGUGAGCUGCAAAUCACAUGGUGGCAAAAUCACUGGUAAAUCUCCUCCUGGGGAAUUCCAGAGAGGGGGCUGGCUGACAACUUCCCUCCCCUAGGCUCAUGGAUUCCUGCACUGGGUUCCGGCAGCCGUUUACUUCUCCUGGGGACUUACCAAAGGAGCAUCACUUGGUGGAAACAGACCCAGAUGCCAUAGCCUCUCCCCAAGGCUCCUGGAACUUUGCUCUUGGCUCCCACAGCAAAUUCUUCCCCCUGAGGACUUCAGGAGAGGGGCAUCCCCUGGAGUGAUCGGAGAGGUCUUCUUAUACAUGCAAGGAUGAGCCGAGUUCCUGGAAGCGUGCUGUGAUGGAUGGAAAAAUAUGAUACUUUUAAAUUAUAUAUUUAUACCAUUUUAAUGUUUAGUUUGCUUUGUACAUAAUAAAACUUGACCGCUUAAAAGUG
Xenopus laevis (African clawed frog) is the source of this 776-nucleotide RNA transcript. It is a transcript of the gene named small integral membrane protein 11A S homeolog, with no coding region annotated. NCBI's taxonomy places the organism in Eukaryota, Metazoa, Chordata, Amphibia, Anura, Pipidae. The transcript has 4 exons. The record is from RefSeq and is a predicted model, not a curated record.